This 1715-nucleotide ribosomal RNA is filed under the name Escherichia coli. RNAcentral describes it as "partial 23S ribosomal RNA". It matches the Rfam family "Bacterial large subunit ribosomal RNA", at positions 1248 to 2925 of the family's 2925-position model. Lineage: Bacteria; Pseudomonadati; Pseudomonadota; Gammaproteobacteria; Enterobacterales; Enterobacteriaceae. The record is from RNAcentral.
CUGUGAAGGUGUACUGUGAGGUAUGCUGGAGGUAUCAGAAGUGCGAAUGCUGACAUAAGUAACGAUAAAGCGGGUGAAAAGCCCGCUCGCCGGAAGACCAAGGGUUCCUGUCCAACGUUAAUCGGGGCAGGGUGAGUCGACCCCUAAGGCGAGGCCGAAAGGCGUAGUCGAUGGGAAACAGGUUAAUAUUCCUGUACUUGGUGUUACUGCGAAGGGGGGACGGAGAAGGCUAUGUUGGCCGGGCGACGGUUGUCCCGGUUUAAGCGUGUAGGCUGGUUUUCCAGGCAAAUCCGGAAAAUCAAGGCUGAGGCGUGAUGACGAGGCACUACGGUGCUGAAGCAACAAAUGCCCUGCUUCCAGGAAAAGCCUCUAAGCAUCAGGUAACAUCAAAUCGUACCCCAAACCGACACAGGUGGUCAGGUAGAGAAUACCAAGGCGCUUGAGAGAACUCGGGUGAAGGAACUAGGCAAAAUGGUGCCGUAACUUCGGGAGAAGGCACGCUGAUAUGUAGGUGAAGUCCCUCGCGGAUGGAGCUGAAAUCAGUCGAAGAUACCAGCUGGCUGCAACUGUUUAUUAAAAACACAGCACUGUGCAAACACGAAAGUGGACGUAUACGGUGUGACGCCUGCCCGGUGCCGGAAGGUUAAUUGAUGGGGUCAGCGCAAGCGAAGCUCUUGAUCGAAGCCCCGGUAAACGGCGGCCGUAACUAUAACGGUCCUAAGGUAGCGAAAUUCCUUGUCGGGUAAGUUCCGACCUGCACGAAUGGCGUAAUGAUGGCCAGGCUGUCUCCACCCGAGACUCAGUGAAAUUGAACUCGCUGUGAAGAUGCAGUGUACCCGCGGCAAGACGGAAAGACCCCGUGAACCUUUACUAUAGCUUGACACUGAACAUUGAGCCUUGAUGUGUAGGAUAGGUGGGAGGCUUUGAAGUGUGGACGCCAGUCUGCAUGGAGCCGACCUUGAAAUACCACCCUUUAAUGUUUGAUGUUCUAACGUGGACCCGUGAUCCGGGUUGCGGACAGUGUCUGGUGGGUAGUUUGACUGGGGCGGUCUCCUCCUAAAGAGUAACGGAGGAGCACGAAGGUUGGCUAAUCCUGGUCGGACAUCAGGAGGUUAGUGCAAUGGCAUAAGCCAGCUUGACUGCGAGCGUGACGGCGCGAGCAGGUGCGAAAGCAGGUCAUAGUGAUCCGGUGGUUCUGAAUGGAAGGGCCAUCGCUCAACGGAUAAAAGGUACUCCGGGGAUAACAGGCUGAUACCGCCCAAGAGUUCAUAUCGACGGCGGUGUUUGGCACCUCGAUGUCGGCUCAUCACAUCCUGGGGCUGAAGUAGGUCCCAAGGGUAUGGCUGUUCGCCAUUUAAAGUGGUACGCGAGCUGGGUUUAGAACGUCGUGAGACAGUUCGGUCCCUAUCUGCCGUGGGCGCUGGAGAACUGAGGGGGGCUGCUCCUAGUACGAGAGGACCGGAGUGGACGCAUCACUGGUGUUCGGGUUGUCAUGCCAAUGGCACUGCCCGGUAGCUAAAUGCGGAAGAGAUAAGUGCUGAAAGCAUCUAAGCACGAAACUUGCCCCGAGAUGAGUUCUCCCUGACCCUUUAAGGGUCCUGAAGGAACGUUGAAGACGACGACGUUGAUAGGCCGGGUGUGUAAGCGCAGCGAUGCGUUGAGCUAACCGGUACUAAUGAACCGUGAGGCUUAACCUUACAACGCCGAAGGUGUUU